RNAcentral lists this ribosomal RNA (229 nucleotides) under uncultured bacterium. RNAcentral's name for it is "partial 16S ribosomal RNA". It matches the Rfam family "Bacterial small subunit ribosomal RNA", at positions 104 to 334 of the family's 1533-position model. The record is from RNAcentral.
CGGGGUGAGUAAUGUAUGGGGAUCUGCCUGAUGGCGGGGGAUAACUACUGGAAACGGUAGCUAAUACCGCAUAACGUCGCAAGACCAAAGAGGGGGACCUUAGGGCCUCUUGCCAUCGGAUGUGCCCAGAUGGGAUUAGCUAGUAGGUGGGGUAACGGCUCACCUAGGCGACGAUCCCUAGCUGGCCUGAGAGGAUGACCAGCCACACUGGAACUGAGACACGGUCCAG